GAGCGCAACCCUUGGUUCUAGUUGCCAGCAUUCAGUUGGGCACUCUAGAGCGACUGCCGGCGACAAGUCGGAGGAAGGUGGGGAUGACGUCAAAUCAUCAUGCCCCUUAUGACCUGGGCUACACACGUGCUACAAUGGAUGGUACAAAGGGCAGCGAAGCGGCGACGCAUAAGCGAAUCCCAGAAAACCAUUCUCAGUUCGGAUUGCAGGCUGCAACUCGCCUGCAUGAAGCCGGAAUCGCUAGUAAUCGCGGAUCAGCAUGCCGCGGUGAAUACGUUCCCGGGCCUUGUACACACCGCCCGUCACACCACGAGAGUUUGUAACACCCGAAGUCGGUGAGGUAACCGCAAGGAGCCAGCCGCCGAAGGUGGGACAGAUGAUUGGGGUGAAGUCGUAACAAGGUAGCCGUAUCGGAAGGUGCGGCUGGAUCACCUCCUU
Molecule: ribosomal RNA, 438 nt
Filed under: bacterium enrichment culture
Lineage: Bacteria
Description: bacterial SSU rRNA
Rfam family: Bacterial small subunit ribosomal RNA
Source: RNAcentral